AGCGUACACGGUGGAUGCCCUGGCAGUCAGAGGCGAUGAAGGGCGUGCUAAUCUGCGAUAAGCGCCGGUAAGGUGAUAUGAACCGUUAUAACCGGCGAUACCCGAAUGGGGAAACCCAGUGUGAUUCGUCACACUAUCAUUAACUGAAUCCAUAGGUUAAUGAGGCGAACCGGGGGAACUGAAACAUCUAAGUACCCCGAGGAAAAGAAAUCAACCGAGAUUCCCCCAGUAGCGGCGAGCGAACGGGGAGGAGCCCAGAGCCUGAAUCAGCAUGUGUGUUAGUGGAAGCGUCUGGAAAGGCGCGCGAUACAGGGUGACAGCCCCGUACACAAAAGCGCAUGUGCUGUGAGCUCGAUGAGUAGGGCGGGACACGUGGUAUCCUGUCUGAAUAUGGGGGGACCAUCCUCCAAGGCUAAAUACUCCUGACUGACCGAUAGUGAACCAGUACCGUGAGGGAAAGGCGAAAAGAACCCCGGCGAGGGGAGUGAAAAAGAACCUGAAACCGUGUACGUACAAGCAGUGGGAGCCCCACCACCAAAGCAUUCUCUGGUGUUGAAGGCCCUGCAAAGCAGCAUCGCGGUGGCGGAGCGUCGUUUGCGACGCCCAACACACAAAACAAGCGGUGAGUGCUUUGGGGUGGGGUGACUGCGUACCUUUUGUAUAAUGGGUCAGCGACUUAUAUUCUGUAGCAAGGUUAACCGUAUAGGGGAGCCGGAGGGAAACCGAGUCUUAACCGGGCGUUAAGUUGCAGGGUAUAGACCCGAAACCCGGUGAUCUAGCCAUGGGCAGGUUGAAGGUUGGGUAACACUAACUGGAGGACCGAACCGACUAAUGUUGAAAAAUUAGCGGAUGACCUGUGGCUGGGGGUGAAAGGCCAAUCAAACCGGGAGAUAGCUGGUUCUCCCCGAAAGCUAUUUAGGUAGCGCCUCGUGAAUUCAUCUCCGGGGGUAGAGCACUGUUUCGGCUAGGGGGCCAUCCCGGCUUACCAACCCGAUGCAAACUGCGAAUACCGGAGAAUGUUAUCACGGGAGACACACGGCGGGUGCUAACGUCCGUCGUGAAGAGGGAAACAACCCAGACCGCCAGCUAAGGUCCCAAAGUCAUGGUUAAGUGGGAAACGAUGUGGGAAGGCCCAGACAGCCAGGAUGUUGGCUUAGAAGCAGCCAUCAUUUAAAGAAAGCGUAAUAGCUCACUGGUCGAGUCGGCCUGCGCGGAAGAUGUAACGGGGCUAAACCAUGCACCGAAGCUGCGGCAGCGACGCUUAUGCGUUGUUGGGUAGGGGAGCGUUCUGUAAGCCUGUGAAGGUGUGUCGUGAGGCAUGCUGGAGGUAUCAGAAGUGCGAAUGCUGACAUAAGUAACGAUAAAGCGGGUGAAAAGCCCGCUCGCCGGAAGACCAAGGGUUCCUGUCCAACGUUAAUCGGGGCAGGGUGAGUCGACCCCUAAGGCGAGGCCGAAAGGCGUAGUCGAUGGGAAACGGGUUAAUAUUCCCGUACUUGGUGUUACUGCGAAGGGGGGACGGAGAAGGCUAUGUUGGCCGGGCGACGGUUGUCCCGGUUUAAGCGUGUAGGUGUGUGUUCCAGGUAAAUCCGGUUCACUUUAACACUGAGGCGUGAUGACGAGGCACUACGGUGCUGAAGCAACAAAUGCCCUGCUUCCAGGAAAAGCCUCUAAGCAUCAGGUAACAUCAAAUCGUACCCCAAACCGACACAGGUGGUCAGGUAGAGAAUACCAAGGCGCUUGAGAGAACUCGGGUGAAGGAACUAGGCAAAAUGGUGCCGUAACUUCGGGAGAAGGCACGCUGACACGUAGGUGAAGUGAUUUACUCAUGGAGCUGAAGUCAGUCGAAGAUACCAGCUGGCUGCAACUGUUUAUUAAAAACACAGCACUGUGCAAACACGAAAGUGGACGUAUACGGUGUGACGCCUGCCCGGUGCCGGAAGGUUAAUUGAUGGGGUCAGCGCAAGCGAAGCUCCUGAUCGAAGCCCCGGUAAACGGCGGCCGUAACUAUAACGGUCCUAAGGUAGCGAAAUUCCUUGUCGGGUAAGUUCCGACCUGCACGAAUGGCGUAAUGAUGGCCAGGCUGUCUCCACCCGAGACUCAGUGAAAUUGAACUCGCUGUGAAGAUGCAGUGUACCCGCGGCAAGACGGAAAGACCCCGUGAACCUUUACUAUAGCUUGACACUGAACAUUGAGCCUUGAUGUGUAGGAUAGGUGGGAGGCUUUGAAGUGUGGACGCCAGUCUGCAUGGAGCCGACCUUGAAAUACCACCCUUUAAUGUUUGAUGUUCUAACGUGGACCCGUAAUCCGGGUUGCGGACAGUGUCUGGUGGGUAGUUUGACUGGGGCGGUCUCCUCCUAAAGAGUAACGGAGGAGCACGAAGGUUGGCUAAUCCUGGUCGGACAUCAGGAGGUUAGUGCAAUGGCAUAAGCCAGCUUGACUGCGAGCGUGACGGCGCGAGCAGGUGCGAAAGCAGGUCAUAGUGAUCCGGUGGUUCUGAAUGGAAGGGCCAUCGCUCAACGGAUAAAAGGUACUCCGGGGAUAACAGGCUGAUACCGCCCAAGAGUUCAUAUCGACGGCGGUGUUUGGCACCUCGAUGUCGGCUCAUCACAUCCUGGGGCUGAAGUAGGUCCCAAGGGUAUGGCUGUUCGCCAUUUAAAGUGGUACGCGAGCUGGGUUUAGAACGUCGUGAGACAGUUCGGUCCCUAUCUGCCGUGGGCGCUGGAGAACUGAGGGGGGCUGCUCCUAGUACGAGAGGACCGGAGUGGACGCAUCACUGGUGUUCGGGUUGUCAUGCCAAUGGCACUGCCCGGUAGCUAAAUGCGGAAGAGAUAAGUGCUGAAAGCAUCUAAGCACGAAACUUGCCCCGAGAUGAGUUCU
This is a ribosomal RNA of 2877 nucleotides. It matches the Rfam family "Bacterial large subunit ribosomal RNA".